UACGUAGGGUGCGAGCGUUGUCCGGAAUUACUGGGCGUAAAGAGCUCGUAGGUGGUUUGUCGCGUUGUCCGUGAAAACUCACAACUCAAUUGUGGGCGUGCGGGCGAUACGGGCAGACUGGAGUACUGCAGGGGAGACUGGAAUUCCUGGUGUAGCGGUGGAAUGCGCAGAUAUCAGGAGGAACACCGAUGGCGAAGGCAGGUCUCUGGGCCGCAACUGACGCUGAGGAGCGAAAGCAUGGGGAGCGAACAGG
RNAcentral lists this ribosomal RNA (253 nucleotides) under uncultured bacterium. RNAcentral describes it as "partial 16S ribosomal RNA". It matches the Rfam family "Bacterial small subunit ribosomal RNA", at positions 524 to 776 of the family's 1533-position model. The record is from RNAcentral.